GACGAACGCUGGCGGCGUGCUUAACACAUGCAAGUCGAACGAAGAGCGAUGGAAGCUUGCUUCUAUCAAUCUUAGUGGCGAACGGGUGAGUAACGCGUAAUCAACCUGCCCUUCAGAGGGGGACAACAGUUGGAAACGACUGCUAAUACCGCAUACGAUCUGACCUCGGCAUCGAGGAUGGAUGAAAGGUGGCCUCUAUUUAUAAGCUAUCACUGAAGGAGGGGAUUGCGUCUGAUUAGCUAGUUGGAGGGGUAACGGCCCACCAAGGCGAUGAUCAGUAGCCGGUCUGAGAGGAUGAACGGCCACAUUGGGACUGAGACACGGCCCAGACUCCUACGGGAGGCAGCAGUGGGGAAUCUUCCGCAAUGGACGAAAGUCUGACGGAGCAACGCCGCGUGAGUGAUGACGGCCUUCGGGUUGUAAAGCUCUGUUAAUCGGGACGAAAGGCCUUCUUGCGAA
RNAcentral lists this ribosomal RNA (459 nucleotides) under Veillonella dispar. RNAcentral describes it as "bacterial SSU rRNA". It matches the Rfam family "Bacterial small subunit ribosomal RNA", at positions 28 to 464 of the family's 1533-position model. The record is from RNAcentral. Lineage: Bacteria; Bacillati; Bacillota; Negativicutes; Veillonellales; Veillonellaceae.